AGUGAACGCUGGCGGUAGGCCUAACACAUGCAAGUCGAACGGCAGCACAGUAAGAGCUUGCUCUUACGGGUGGCGAGUGGCGGACGGGUGAGGAAUACAUCGGAAUCUACUUUUUCGUGGGGGAUAACGUAGGGAAACUUACGCUAAUACCGCAUACGACCUACGGGUGAAAGCAGGGGAUCUUCGGACCUUGCGCGAUUGAAUGAGCCGAUGUCGGAUUAGCUAGUUGGCGGGGUAAAGGCCCACCAAGGCGACGAUCCGUAGCUGGUCUGAGAGGAUGACCAGCCCACCUGGAAUGGAAACACGGUCCAACCCCCUAGGGGAGGCAGCAGUGGGGAAUUUUGGCAAAGGGGCGAAAGCCUGUCCCAGCCAUCCCGGGGGGGUGAAGAAGGCCUUCGGGUUGUAAAGCCCUUUUGUUGGGAAAAAAAAGCAGCAGGUUAACCCCCCGCUGUUCUGACGGAACCAAAAGAAUAAGCACCGGCAAACUUCGU
RNAcentral lists this ribosomal RNA (491 nucleotides) under uncultured bacterium. RNAcentral's name for it is "partial 16S ribosomal RNA". It matches the Rfam family "Bacterial small subunit ribosomal RNA", at positions 29 to 506 of the family's 1533-position model. The record is from RNAcentral.